GGCCAGGCUGAAGACUUUGCCGGAUUAGCUGAGAGGUGGUGCAUGGCCGUCGUCAGUUCGUACUGUGAAGCAUCCUGUUAAGUCAGGCAACGAGCGAGACCCAGCCCACAGUUGCCAGCGUACUCUCUGGAGUGACGGGUACACUGUGGGGACCGCCGCUGCUAAAGCGGAGGAAGGAAUGGGCAACGGUAGGUCAGUAUGCCCCGAAUAUCCCGGGCUACACGCGAGCUACAAUGGUUGGUACAAUGGGUAUCUACCCCGAAAGGGGACGGGAAUCUCCUAAAACCAAUCUUAGUUCGGAUUGAGGGCUGCAACUCGCCCUCAUGAAGCUGGAAUCCGUAGUAAUCGCGUUUCAACAGAACGCGGUGAAUACGUCCCUGCUCCUU
RNAcentral lists this ribosomal RNA (386 nucleotides) under uncultured Methanosaeta sp. Its description in RNAcentral is "bacterial SSU rRNA". It matches the Rfam family "Archaeal small subunit ribosomal RNA", at positions 952 to 1338 of the family's 1478-position model. Lineage: Archaea; Methanobacteriati; Methanobacteriota; Methanomicrobia; Methanotrichales; Methanotrichaceae. The record is from RNAcentral.